CGGAAGAGAGGAUGAGUGCCACCGGAUCCCAUCAGAACUCCGAAGUUAAGCGUGCUUGGGCGAGAGCAGUACUAGGAUGGGUGACCCGAAGUCCUCGUGUUGCACCU
This 107-nucleotide ribosomal RNA is filed under the name Zingiber officinale. The record is from RNAcentral. Lineage: Eukaryota; Viridiplantae; Streptophyta; Magnoliopsida; Zingiberales; Zingiberaceae.